GCUCGCGUGGAUCGGUUCCAUAUCGUGGCGCCCUUUGAUGGCGUUGUGUCAUCCGUCCAGGUGGACGUCGGGCACUCGGUGAGCGAGCA
RNAcentral lists this transfer RNA (89 nucleotides) under Phycisphaerae bacterium. RNAcentral describes it as "tRNA-Gln". Lineage: Bacteria; Pseudomonadati; Planctomycetota; Phycisphaerae. The record is from RNAcentral.